UAACAAUGGUGUGCAGCAAAAUGCUUAGAUUGCAAAUCCAGGGCUUGAAGGCUUCCCCAUCACUUGCCAACAUUACUUAUUUAAAGUUCAGCUUCCCCCGCUGAUUACUGUCGUCUUCCUGCCACUGAAGCAGAUUUUGAAGAAAAGGUUUUUCUUCCAGCUGACUCAAUAAGCAGUUCUCUCAUGAAGGAAACCAGAAAUAUAAUGUAGAAGAACAGCUUAGGGAAGCUUUAAAAGAGGGCAGGAACUGGUUGGACUAGACGAAGCGUGUUGAUCCUUCAGAAUAUAUUAUAGCAUUGGCAACAGUGUGCAACAUCUACAACAGACCCUGGAGGAACUCGAUGAGGCUCCUCAGACAGCACCUUUCAAAACCGUAACUUUGAGAAGGACAAGAGCAACAGAUACAUGGAAAUACAGUCACUUGUACGUCCCCGUCCAAGACACUCGCCAUCCUGACUUGGAAAUAUAUCACUGUUCCUUCAGUGUCACUAGGUCAAAGGUCUGAAACUCCCUGGCUAACAGCACUGUUGCUACAGUGGCUCAAGAAAGCAGCUCACCACCACGUUCUCCAGGGCAAUUAGGGAUGAGUACUAAUUCUGUCCAAUAAUGCUCACAUCCCCAUCAGCAAAUAAAGUAAACAAAAAAUUCUUUACCUGACAGAGAAGAUAGAUUCAUACAGCUAGAGGAUUUCCUUUUAAACAGCAUCUUUCACAACCUGAAGAAGCCCCAAAGUGCUUUACGCUAAUGACACACCACUGAAACUCAGUCACUGCUGUAUGCAAAUUUGUAUCUUGCAAGAUCCAACAAGUAACAAUGUGACAAAAAGAAAUUGACCUCUUUCAGUAAUGUUUGUGAUGGAUCAAUAUUGUUCAGAGUUCUCAGCCCUUUUUAGAAAUAGUGAUGGAAGUUUUACAUCCAAUUAAGAGGGCAAAGAGAUUAAUAUCUUGCCAGAAAGGCAGUCCUGCCCUUCCUUGGUCAAGGUCAGCCUGGAUUUUAUACUUGUGCUUCUGUCAUGAAACCUGAACCCUCAAUAUUUCGCUGUAGCUUCAGUGAGAAUGAGACCCAGCCACAGUAGGGAAUUUGUGUUUAUUUCCACAAAAUUUCAGGAUGAGAAACAAACAUCUUGCAAGUUAUCUGCGAUUUAUGGACAACUUCAAGCUAUUCUGUGAUCACAAAUGCCCAGAAACUAAUGGCAGACAGGACUGUGACAAGAAUCAAGCAACCUGCAUCUCUUCAGGAUCUUUGGUAAUUGUAUGCCUGGAGAAGAGCUCUCUGUAAAUCAUGAAGCAAAUAACCUUGGUAUGAAGACAGUCAUCUGGUCAUCAGAGUGAAGUUUUCUUUCUUACAAAACUAAGAACUGGUUUAAAUAAUGCAGUGGGUAGCUUACUGUAAUAGAUCUGGAAGAUGGUGUUUCAUACAAUGCUAAAGUCUCCCUUUUAUUCUGAUUACUAGUGCACAAUGUGUAACAUUGGCAUUACCUUCUGCCUUGGCAUCUUCACAUUCACUCCUUAACAAUAUCCGUUCUGUUUUCUAGCCAGUUACAAAACAGCAAGGACAAUUUAUGACAAGAUAAUAAAGCUAUUUUUUCCAUACUUUCCCAUCUAAUCUCUUAGUUACUUGUCCUCUGUUCUCUCUAAGGUAAAUCAAUAGGAAUGGAGGACCUACUGUGCAGCCAAAAUGUAGCUAUUAACACGUUGGAAUAAACUAUGAGUGUUCCUCAGCAUGUGUUUCGGCCAUGACUGUGAAUACUAUUUUUACACAGCCUAUCUUGAAAGGAAGACCAAUUGUAUUGUCUGAUUGCAUGAUAACUCAAAGGAGAGGGUUCAAAGGAGAAAACAGUGAUCUGUUAGCAAACAGAUGCACAGUUUCCCUCGGAUGCAUGCUAAUUAAGUUAUGGUGUGGUGUCCUGAGAUAUUUAUUAAAACCGAGGACACAAUGGUAACUACAGGGAGCCCAAUUUCUGGCACAGUGCCAGUAGAAGAUAAAGCUUCAGUA
This is a long non-coding RNA of Stegostoma tigrinum, 1995 nucleotides long. RefSeq lists it as uncharacterized. The transcript has 3 exons. NCBI's taxonomy places the organism in Eukaryota, Metazoa, Chordata, Chondrichthyes, Orectolobiformes, Stegostomatidae. The record is from RefSeq and is a predicted model, not a curated record.